UUUUUUCAUUAAUUUAGUAUACCCAAAGACCCCCCAAACCCCUUAUCCCAUUUCAUUUCCCCACCCCCCAGUCUCUCACCUCGCCUCUCUUAAAGACAAGGAACCUUAUCCGCCGCCCCCAAAACCUUCCUCUUCUCCGGUGGCGGCACCGGCCCCAAAUCGCCCCAAUAAUACACCCCAGGACCCCAUUUGUCUCCUCUUCUAUAAUCUGUAAUUAUUUUCCUUCGAACACACUUAGAAUUGUUCAACCUCGAUCUUUAGUCAUGAACACUAGCAGCCGCCACCAUUCACCCUGGCCUUCCGCUGGCGGCGCUGUCUCCUAACGACCCCAAAAAAACACCCCUUGACCACCAUAACUCCCCCUUCCCUAAUCCACAGCCAAUUUACUACAAAUCCAUUCCAAACCCCUCUAAUCUUAAAUCCCAAAUUCGGGUUCCAAAAGCUAAGCCUAAAACUCAAAAUUAAUAAUGAGGGCUCUAGUUUUAGAACUGGUUUGCUCACAAAAUAGUGUUAUUUACUUGUUUUGACAAAAAAACAAGUGACUAGAAUUGUUAGGUGAUGGAAUCAGAAAUUCAAGGAUACCGAGAUUAAUGUCCAAUUUAGCCGGUAAGUUCUUUCACGUUUUCUUUGUCAAUUUCUAUUAUAAUUGUUCAUCUCUCCCCAUUUCUUUUUUUUUUUUGGUUUCAAUUCGAUUGAAAUUCAACCAUAUCCGUGUGUUCAGAAUAAGUUUGUUGUUUUUAUUUGCUUUGAAAAUAGAUUUUUGUUUUCUUAAAUUACAUUUCAAUCUUCUUAAAAUUUCAGAAUCACGUCUUAGUCAAUUUAACUGAUAAUAUAUAAUAAUUCUGACAGAUUCUUGUUCAAAUGUGCAAACAAUCAAUCGAUCAGUAUAAAUUAAUUUAAGUUAUCACCUAACAUGAGAAGCUUCUAAAUAGGUGGUAGGGUAGAAAUUGUAAUACAAUUAAACUAACAGCACUAAACUAGUGGAUAGUUAAGUAAUUAAAAAGUAAAUUGAUAAUGAGGGAUGCAUUAACAGGAAUUGCCUAUAUAAAGGCUGAAUUUGAAAGGUUUGGGGAUACAGAUUAAGAACAAAGAUAGAUAGAAAGAAAGAACUGAUUGAUAGGGGAAGAAUACUCUACAAAAUACAGAAUAGAAAGAGAGUUUAAGACUUUAAGAGACAGAGAAUAGCUAAUUUCUGAAACAACUAAAAAUAUAUUAGAAAUUCCUGCUAUCUUUUUGAUAAAAUUAGCCCUAAUCCUGUUCUUUAACUAGUCAAAAUUUUUAGAUCUUAAAGAAUUUCUUAUUCUAGGUGUGAAAAAAAAGAAUGGUUUGGUUCUGAAAAAUCGAAAGAUUAUUUGAAGCUAUUUAAGUUACUACAUUACUAUUCCAUUGGGGUUGACUGUUGAUCUGCUGUUACUGCCUUCAGACUCUUGAUUUUCAUCUUGUUUCCUUUGUUUACCAGACAUGUCCUGACCUUGAAGUAACAUAUAUGGUGCAAAUGUAAUCAAGGUUGGAAAAAUGAUAAAUGUUGACUUUGAUUAUCGAGUAAUUGCUCAAGUUCAUACUCUGCCCGAGUGCUUAUUUUCUUUUAGCUCAUUUGUAUUGUGUAGUUUUGUAUGAUGGGGAGUCUCACUUUAAAGUCUGAAGUUGAGGUCUAUUUGUGUACUGUUGAAUCCCGGGGAUAAUCUUGAGUCUUGAUGAUAUGUAUAAGUGAAUAACCACUACUUCUCUAGUUUAAUUUUGUCAAUUUUUGCUGAGUUUUGUAUGUAAGUUGGAUUGCUGGUUCAUAAUCAGAUUCUUUUCAGUUUUAAUCAGAUUCUUUUCUUCUUGUUUCAUGCUUUGAUGUGUAUUUACCAUAAGUUUGGCAUGUCUUGUUUUAGUCACAAUUAUAUUCAUGUUUUAGUUUCAUGGUUUGCUUCUUUCAUUAUAGUCAAGUUGUUCUUUUUCUCUCCUUGAGGACUGAAUAUGGAAUUGGUAUUGUGAUUAAUUCAAGGUUUUCAGAUAGUUGAACAUGUGAUAACUAGGA
RNAcentral lists this long non-coding RNA (2023 nucleotides) under Nicotiana benthamiana. RNAcentral describes it as "long non-coding RNA (NBEN_LNC015154)". The record is from RNAcentral. Lineage: Eukaryota; Viridiplantae; Streptophyta; Magnoliopsida; Solanales; Solanaceae.